UACGUAGGGGGCAAGCGUUAUCCGGAUUUACUGGGCGUAAAGGGAGCGUAGGCGGACUUUUAAGUGAGAUGUGAAAUACCCGGGCUCAACUUGGGUGCUGCAUUUCAAACUGGAAGUCUAGAGUGCAGGAGAGGAGAAUGGAAUUCCUAGUGUAGCGGUGAAAUGCGUAGAGAUUAGGAAGAACACCAGUGGCGAAGGCGAUUCUCUGGACUGUAACUGACGCUGAGGCUCGAAAGCGUGGGGAGCAAACAGGAUUAGAUACCCGGGUAGU
This 271-nucleotide ribosomal RNA is filed under the name uncultured prokaryote. RNAcentral describes it as "partial 16S ribosomal RNA". It matches the Rfam family "Bacterial small subunit ribosomal RNA", at positions 524 to 794 of the family's 1533-position model. The record is from RNAcentral.